UACAUAAACAAUAUUAAUCGAAUCGCAUAGUCGAAAAUUAUAUUCCUUCCCCACAUAUAUUUUAGGUUUGAGAGAUUUUUGUCACGAACUGAGCCAGAAAGUGAACACACCAUUGCCGAGCAGCAAAUUGUACUUCUGAUUCGGAUAUAAUUAUGCAGUUUCCGGAUGUUAUCAUUGUGACGAAUUUACGACGGAUGGAACCGCAAAAUACCAAGGGCUUGGUGGCAGGGGAAAAGCAUCAUGGGCAGCAAAAGCCGCGUCAAGUGUCCAUGAGGUUUCAGGCUAUGCAUUCGCAGAGCUCAUUCUUCUGUCCAGGAAUUGACUAUCAUUUAGCCCCAGGUGCAAAAGAGGAACGAACAUAUAUCCGAAAGUUCGCGCUUCGCGGGACGGCACCAUUCAAACACUUCUGUCGAGAACACCUGUAGAGAAAAAAAACCUUCCUCCAAGUGAUUGUAUUUUAACGGAGGAUAAACUGAAUCCCCGUAAGUUUUCCAUUAAUGGAUUCGCUGAGCCCGUAAGUCGAAACAGGAUUUGACAUCUUCUCGGACAUAAAACCACAUCAGGAAGCACGCAUCUAUAGACCGAUGUCGACAGAAUUAUGGACACCGUUGGUCUCUCUUUCUGGCUCUCUUACAAACUUUUAUCAAGCCCCAGUUUUUCUCAAAAUAAAAUGACAAAUGUUUGAUGAUAUCUCUUAAUAAAUAUACCUAUUACAA
Armigeres subalbatus is the source of this 716-nucleotide long non-coding RNA. RefSeq lists it as uncharacterized. The record is from RefSeq and is a predicted model, not a curated record. The transcript is spliced from 2 exons. NCBI's taxonomy places the organism in Eukaryota, Metazoa, Arthropoda, Insecta, Diptera, Culicidae.